Selaginella moellendorffii is the source of this 1649-nucleotide long non-coding RNA. RefSeq lists it as uncharacterized. The record is from RefSeq and is a predicted model, not a curated record. Lineage: Eukaryota; Viridiplantae; Streptophyta; Lycopodiopsida; Selaginellales; Selaginellaceae. The transcript has 5 exons.
UUGAGUGUCGCGGGGAGGGGGGAGAUGAGCAUAGUCCACAACUCAUGGCGCCAGCAGCAUCCCAGGAUCAUCAUCGCAUGAGCCGGAGCUUCUCCUACGAUGUGCUGCUCCGCGAUGUUUCUGGUUUAGGGUUUAGGGUUUAGGGUCUCCCACCCGCUCCAGCUCCGAGCUGAGCCCGCCAGAGAUCGAGGAGGCCACUGUUCACUCCAAUGGCGGCCUCCAUCACCGCCCGAGGCUUGAUCUCCCACCGGCAGAAAGCAAGAGCUCUUCAGAGCCCGCCAAUGGAUCUCUUCUUCUGGUGGACGAAGACACAUGCAGCUCCCGGGUUGAAGACCCGGCUACCUCAGUCGUUCAUCACACCUCUGGCGGAGAAGCCCGCUUCUCCGCCAACAUACCUCGGUUAUCAACUUUGAACCCGAUGGUGAAACCGAACCGGGUUCACAGAAGAAGCUCGAGAACGAGGCUGACAAACCUUUCCCGGCUCUUCCACCAGCUUUUGAUCCCACCAGUGGAGCUCACUGGAGACAACUUAUGAAUGCUGGCAAUGAGUACAUGGAACUGGAUUUUUCUCCGGUUCAACAUGUGAUGGACGAGCUCACUGAUGGAGCUGCUCUGCAAAUUACGACAAGAACCGGAAGCGAACAAAGCCGGGAGCGCGGGUACAAUGUCUUGUGCAAUGUUCCCUGGCGCUGCGAGCUGACUCUUUCUUGUCACUCUUAACUGUGACUCCAUUGCGGCUCCUGAUGGUUUUACCGAACCGUGUAAGGAACUUCCGGACAGUCGGACCCAGUGACUGGUGCGACUUAUGUUGUUUGAUCAUAUUAAUCGCCGGAGUGAAGGCUCUUCAGCAAGCUGAGAUCAGGUACAUCUAUCACUCUAUCAGAUUCGAGCCAAACAUCAAGCUCUAUGUGAUCUACAACAUGCUCGAGGUCUGGCUUUUUAAUCAUUUAUUUUUUUCAAUACGUUUAUUCUUCUAGUUUUCACAAUCAUUCGCUGAAUGUUUUCUGUAUGCUGCUGGUGUUUGACAAGCUUUUCCAAUCAUUUGGAGUAGAUGUGCUCGAGGUUCUCUUCAGAUCAGCAGCGAGCUGCACAGGGGAGGGGAAGGCUUCGGAUUUUUUUAAGGCUUUUCUUCGAUCAGAGCAUCGCCAUCGGAUGCUUCAUUAUCCUUUUUCUUUUAUUUUUUUAUCUUUAUUUUAUUUAUUAAUUAGUUUUUUAUCCUUGACUUCUACACACUUGUGCACUCGUUCAUCAUCAUGUUUGAAGGAAUAACUCUGGCCGCGGCCCUCCACCAUGCGGCUACAAACAGAUCGUUGUUCAUGCUCUUAAUGUCGACUACGACUACAUUUCAGGAUACUACGACUAAAUCACCUUCCUUGGAGUUGAUCGUUGGAAGCAGCUCGAAACAGCAGGUGAUCACCAGCUUAUGGAGUGAGGAGACUUCUGGCAAACUCCGGAGCUGAAACAUCGUUGCAUCGAGAUGAUCAAUGAAACGAGUACCGUUAUUCCUCAGCGUGAUCUACUUCCACCAGCAUCUCUUCAACAACUCCCAGACAGGUUAAAAGAGUUCGAGCUUCUUUGGAGCAUCCAGUGAAUGAAAGCCUCUGAAUCAAAAUCUCAAGCACCUGAGUUUGGCUGUACUUGUUAGACUC